CGUGUUAACGUCAUUUACCAACGUGUGGGGGGAAAGACGUACGAAAGUUUCCAGUCUUGGUAUUUUUUGUUUAUGGCCCAGCCCAUUGAAAUUGUUGUUGUAAACAAAUUUGUCUUGGAAAUUGUUGUUGCUUUUGACUUUGCCAAAUGCCAAACGUCAAAACACUAUUACCCCAUUUUGUAAGAUGGCGGCUCUAAUGAUCAUACCUUGUCUUUUUAUACCAUGAAAACCACCAAUCUGCAAAAUUGUAGUUUUGAGUAAAACGGCUUCAAAGUUUUGGAAACUCAAGGAAUCUAAUGCAACAGAAAUUGAUAAUUUAAGCUUCUAGACAACAGAUAGAGUAUUGGGGUCGACGCAAUGAAUAGAGGACCGAUAACAAGUUAAAUGACGCAUUAAUGUGAAAAUAUCCAAAAAUGCAGAUUCCCGUUUUUGGCUUUGUGCCGACCAUAUUAUUGUUUCCGUGUGUUAAUAAAUAACAAUACUAUUACAAUGCAGAGAUGGGAAGAAUGCAGUCAUAAUUAUUGUUAUUAUUGGCUGGAGUACUGGUAAAGAUUGUAAUUAGACCGAGAGCUGGUAGCAGAUUUCUUUCGCGAAAGAAGGUAACGAGUUAACUCUCUUAAACCGAUUUUUUUUGGUUCAGGAAAUGAUAAACGAUUGUAGUGCCAAACUUUUUUUAAGUUCUAUAAUCAUUUAAAAACUGCAGUAUUAUUACACUUUUUCUCAGAGUCGGCGCUGAUACAAACCGGCAGACUUACAUGUUUGCUAUCGCUAUAAAUGGAUCUUCUUGCUCUAUUAAGAAAUCUUAAGCGCAAGAAAUCUACUGCCGACUCUUAGCCAAAGAUGAAGUGCAACGGAUCUACACGUUUGGAAGAAAGGCACAUGCGGGAUUUAAACCUUAAGACGCAAUAAGGGUUGAAGCAAUAAGUAAACAUCAAUUGAGUUUUAAUCAAUGCUAUUAAAUACAUGUUUGUUAACAUUAGUUUCAAUUAUACAUAUGCAAUAAAAACGUCGUAUCAACGGUGCUACAUAAA
Long non-coding RNA from Episyrphus balteatus (marmalade hoverfly), 1031 nucleotides. RefSeq lists it as uncharacterized. NCBI's taxonomy places the organism in Eukaryota, Metazoa, Arthropoda, Insecta, Diptera, Syrphidae. The transcript is spliced from 2 exons. The record is from RefSeq and is a predicted model, not a curated record.